This 623-nucleotide ribosomal RNA is filed under the name uncultured bacterium. RNAcentral's name for it is "bacterial SSU rRNA". The stretch from base 1 to 542 matches the Rfam family "Bacterial small subunit ribosomal RNA", at positions 338 to 873 of the family's 1533-position model. The record is from RNAcentral.
CCUACGGGAGGCAGCAGUGGGGAAUUUUGGACAAUGGGCGAAAGCCUGAUCCAGCAAUGCCGCGUGCAGGAAGAAGGCCUUCGGGUUGUAAACUGCUUUUGUACGGAACGAAACGGUCCGCUUUAAUACAGUGGGCUAAUGACGGUACCGUAAGAAUAAGCACCGGCUAACUACGUGCCAGCAGCCGCGGUAAUACGUAGGGUGCGAGCGUUAAUCGGAAUUACUGGGCGUAAAGCGUGCGCAGGCGGUUAUAUAAGACAGUUGUGAAAUCCCCGGGCUCAACCUGGGAAUUGCAUCUGUGACUGUAUAGCUAGAGUACGGUAGAGGGGGAUGGAAUUCCGCGUGUAGCAGUGAAAUGCGUAGAUAUGCGGAGGAACACCGAUGGCGAAGGCAAUCCCCUGGACCUGUACUGACGCUCAUGCACGAAAGCGUGGGGAGCAAACAGGAUUAGAUACCCUGGUAGUCCACGCCCUAAACGAUGUCAACUGGUUGUUGGGUGCAUUAGUACUCAGUAACGAAGCUAACGCGUGAAGUUGACCGCCUGGGGAGGUACGGCCGCGAGUAGAACGACAAUAGAGUAGACGGCGUGAGACGUAGCCGACGGACGACGACGAGGGAGGAGG